UCACGAAAAUAUAGGUAUUCAAAUGUAAAAUCAAACUAUUCAAGGUUACAUUUUAAACUAAUAGAAAAAUUUCAUAACUACAUUUGAAUUUUUAGCGGUGCAUUAUUACAAAUAUAGCUACCAAUAUAAAUAACACAAAAGGAAUAAGAGGCAUAAUAAAACAAACUUUGGAGUAUAUUUGAUGUGUUGUCCUUUGUGCCCCACGUCCAAGUUUUGUAAAAUAACUCCUGCUUCUUUGCUUCCUUUUGUGUUGUAAUAACUCCAAUGGCUGCUGUCUCUCCUUAUUAUUGCUC
RNAcentral lists this long non-coding RNA (293 nucleotides) under Jatropha curcas. RNAcentral describes it as "long non-coding RNA (JCUR_LNC000780)". Lineage: Eukaryota; Viridiplantae; Streptophyta; Magnoliopsida; Malpighiales; Euphorbiaceae. The record is from RNAcentral.